This 96-nucleotide transfer RNA is filed under the name Xylariaceae sp. FL1019. Its description in RNAcentral is "tRNA-Ile". The record is from RNAcentral. Lineage: Eukaryota; Fungi; Ascomycota; Sordariomycetes; Xylariales; Xylariaceae.
GGUCUGCUAGCUCAGUUGGUUAGAGCGUCGUACUAAUAUUCUUCCAAUAGAAUUUAAGUGAUGCGAAGGUCAUGAGUUCGACCCUCAUGUGGACCA